Long non-coding RNA from Cyprinus carpio (common carp), 907 nucleotides. RefSeq lists it as uncharacterized. Lineage: Eukaryota; Metazoa; Chordata; Actinopteri; Cypriniformes; Cyprinidae. The transcript has 3 exons. The record is from RefSeq and is a predicted model, not a curated record.
CUAAACACAGUCAGCGCAUUGCUCAUUUUAAAAAUCCUACAUUAAAUUUGCAGACGGAAAAUGAGUUUUCAAAAUAUUUUUAUUAAAGACGAGAAAGGACAGGUAAGAACAAGUAAGUGUGGAUUCAGAGGAGGAACUUAAGAACAUACUGUUGGAAGAGCUUCCGAAGAAGAUUCUUUCACGAAUGCAAACGGGACCUCAGAUUAAUCUUCGAGGGCAAACAACUGGAGGAUGCUCGUACACUUUGGUUCUUAUGGCAUACUAAACGAAUCUACUAUACAUAAGUUCUUAUUCUACGAGGUGGAGGAGGUCCACCUCCAUCUGAGAUGAAAGAUAAAGAAAUACCCAGGACUGGAUCAAUGGAAGCAUUAGCUUCAAUGCAGCAGACUGAGCCAGAACCCAACAGAUCAUGUCUGAUUAUGUAGUUCAGUUCAGCCUCAUAUAAAUCCAUACACUGUGGACUCAUCACGUGUAAUACAUUUACAAUUACUACCAUAAAAUACACUGGCACACAUUCUCUCUGAUUUUUAGCCUCUUAGAGUAAAAUAGUAUCAUAACACCUUGUACAAAUAUGAAAAAUAUAAACGGUCACAAUGAACUGAUCACCUGUACCAAAAACCCAGUGUAUAGUUAAAGAGUCAGCAGUUAACAGAAUAAUAACCCUUCCAUAAAGUACACAGAUUCACUCUGUCUCAGGAGAUCUCAGUGAUGACUGAAACCUUUAUUACCCGCAUUUCUCAUGUUAAGGGCCAAUGAUAAAAUCUCUUGUGUCACAAAUAUUUUACUUUUUACUGAAGAGGCUGAAAUCAGAACAGAAUACAUGGAUAUUGAAUUCCAAGGUAGUAAAUUUGAACAAAAUAUGAACAACAAUGUUUAGGCUCCAUUAAUAUUCUUAAAACUGACCCUU